Molecule: long non-coding RNA, 1243 nt
Filed under: Ficedula albicollis (Collared flycatcher)
Lineage: Eukaryota; Metazoa; Chordata; Aves; Passeriformes; Muscicapidae
Description: lncRNA (ENSFALG00000023894.1)
Source: RNAcentral
CCCCCCCCCCCCCCCCCCCCCCCCCCCCCCCCCCCCCCCCCCCCCCCCCCCCCCCCCCCCCCCCCCCCCCCAAGCCCCCCCUAAUUCGCCCCCAAACCCCCGGUGCCCCCCCAGCUGGUUCGACAAGUCCUUCACGCUCGUGGUCUACAAGAACGGCAAGGUCGGGGCCAACGCCGAGCACUCGUGGGCCGACGCCCCCAUCGUGGGGCACCUCUGGGAGGUACCGGGGCAGGGGGGCACCCCAGGACGGGGACACCCCCACAAUGGGGGCACCCCCAGGACGGGGACACCCCCACUGGGGCACCCCCACAAUGGGGACACCCCCAGAACGCGGACACCCCCCAUAGGGCACUCCUGGAGCUCACUGGGACACCCCCAAUGUGGCACUCCUGGAGUGGGGACACCCCAACAAUGAGGGUACCCCACAAUGGGGACACCCCCAGAGUGCGGACACCCCCAGAACUGGGGUACCCCACAAUGGGGACGCCCCCAGAACGGGGACACCCUCACUGGGACACCCCCAGUGUGGCACUCCUGGAGUGGGGACACCCCCACAAUGAGGGUACCCCCAGAACGGGGACACCCCCACUGGGGCACCCCCAGAAUGGGGACACCCCCCAUAGGGCACUCCUGGAGUGGGGAUACCCCCAGAACGGGGACACCCCCAUUGGGGACACCCCCAGUGGGACACUCCUGGAGUGGGGACACCCCCACAAUGAGGGUACCCCACAAUGGGGAUACCCCCAGAGUGCGGACACCCCCAGAACUGGGGUACCCCACAAUGGGGACGCCCCCAGAACGGGGACACCCCCACAGUGGGGACACCCUCACUGGGGGACCCCCAGAAUGGGGACACCCCUGGAGUGGGGACACCCCCAGUNACACGGAGGGGGGGCACUGCAAGGGGGACCCCAGGACGCAGCUGAGCCCCCCCCAGCGCCUGCAGUGGGACAUCCCGCCCGAGGGGGUGGCAGCCAUCGAGGCGUCCCUGCUUGUGGCACAGGUGUGGUACAGGUACAGAUCUGGUACAGGUACAGGUGUGGUACAGGUGUGGCACAGGUGUGGGUACAGGUACAGCUGUGGCACAGGUAAAGGUGAGGGUGCCAUGCUGUGCCAUGUCCCCAGGGGAUGGCAGCCAUCAAGGCGUCCCUGUGGGUGGCACAGGUGUGGUACAGGUGUGGUACAGGUGUGGCACAGGUAAAGGUGUGGGUCCAGGUACAGGUGUGGCACAGGUACAGGUGUG